RNAcentral lists this ribosomal RNA (637 nucleotides) under uncultured bacterium. Its description in RNAcentral is "bacterial SSU rRNA". It matches the Rfam family "Bacterial small subunit ribosomal RNA", at positions 75 to 705 of the family's 1533-position model. The record is from RNAcentral.
GGGAUUUACUCCUGAGGUGGCGAGCGGCGGACGGGUGAGUAAUGCCUAGGGAUCAGCCCAGUCGAGGGGGAUAACAGUUGGAAACGACUGCUAAUACCGCAUACGCCCUACGGGGGAAAGGAGGGGACCUUCGGGCCUUCCGCGAUUGGAUGAACCUAGGUGGGAUUAGCUAGUUGGUGAGGUAAUGGCUCACCAAGGCGACGAUCCCUAGCUGUUCUGAGAGGAUGAUCAGCCACACUGGGACUGAGACACGGCCCAGACUCCUACGGGAGGCAGCAGUGGGGAAUAUUGCACAAUGGGGGAAACCCUGAUGCAGCCAUGCCGCGUGUGUGAAGAAGGCCUUCGGGUUGUAAAGCACUUUCAGUAGGGAGGAAAGGGUAAGUCUUAAUACGGCUUAUCUGUGACGUUACCUACAGAAGAAGGACCGGCUAACUCCGUGCCAGCAGCCGCGGUAAUACGGAGGGUCCGAGCGUUAAUCGGAAUUACUGGGCGUAAAGCGUGCGCAGGCGGUUUGUUAAGCGAGAUGUGAAAGCCCUGGGCUCAACCUAGGAAUCGCAUUUCGAACUGACAAACUAGAGUCUUGUAGAGGGGGGUAGAAUUCCAGGUGUAGCGGUGAAAUGCGUAAAGAUCUGGAGGA